GAUGAACGCUGGCGGCGUGUCUAAUACAUGCAAGUCGAGCGAACAGACGAGGAGCUUGCUCCUCUGACCUUAGCUGCGGACUUGUGAGUUACACGUAGAUUACCUACCUAUAAGACUGGGAUUACUUCGGGAAACCGGAGCUAAUACCGGAUAAUAUAUUGAACUGCAUGGCUCAUUAGUGCACGACUGUUUUGCUGUCACUUAUAGAUGGAUCCGCGCCGCAUUAGCUAGUUGGUAAGGUUACGCCUUAACAAGGCAACGAUGCGUAGCCGACCUUACAGGGUGAACGGUCACACUGGAACUGAGACACGGUCGAGACUCCUACGGGAGGCAGAAAUAGGGAAUCAUCCGAAAUGGGCGAAAGCCUGACGGAGCAACGCCGCGUGAGUGAUGAAGGUCUUCGGAGAGUAAAACGUUGUUAAUAGGGAAGAACAAAGGGGUAAGUAACUAUGCACGUCUUGACGGUACCUAAACAGAAAGCAACGGCUAAAUACGAG
This 497-nucleotide ribosomal RNA is filed under the name uncultured bacterium. RNAcentral's name for it is "partial 16S ribosomal RNA". It matches the Rfam family "Bacterial small subunit ribosomal RNA", at positions 28 to 507 of the family's 1533-position model. The record is from RNAcentral.